Molecule: ribosomal RNA, 273 nt
Filed under: uncultured bacterium
Lineage: Bacteria
Description: partial 16S ribosomal RNA
Rfam family: Bacterial small subunit ribosomal RNA
Source: RNAcentral
UACGGAGGGUGCGAGCGUUGUCCGGAAUCACUGGGCGUAAAGGGCGCGUAGGUGGCCUGAUGAGUCAACGGUGAAAGCUCGUCGCUCAACGACGAGUCGGCCGUCGAUACUGUCGGGCUGGAGCACUGUAGAGGCUCAUGGAAUUCCGGGUGUAGCGGUGGAAUGCGUAGAGAUCCGGAAGAACACCGGUGGCGAAGGCGGUGAGCUGGGCAGUGCUGACACUGAGGCGCUGGACGAGCGUGGGAGCAACAGGGAUAAGAAACCGAGUACGUC